CCGAGUUAUACAACUCAUCAACCCUGUGAACAUACCUAUAACGUUGCCUCGGCGGGAACAGACGGCCCCGUAACACGGGCCGCCCCCGCCAGAGGACCCCCUAACUCUGUUUCUAUAAUGUUUCUUCUGAGUAAACAAGCAAAUAAAUUA
RNAcentral lists this unclassified non-coding RNA (150 nucleotides) under uncultured fungus. RNAcentral describes it as "sequence contains ITS1, 5.8S rRNA gene". RNAcentral also lists the same sequence under 2 other names. Lineage: Eukaryota; Fungi. The record is from RNAcentral.